RNAcentral lists this ribosomal RNA (497 nucleotides) under uncultured bacterium. RNAcentral describes it as "partial 16S ribosomal RNA". It matches the Rfam family "Bacterial small subunit ribosomal RNA", at positions 28 to 507 of the family's 1533-position model. The record is from RNAcentral.
GAUGAACGCUGGCGGCGUGCCUAAUACAUGCAAGUCGAGCGAACAGACGAGAAGCUUGCUCCUCUGACGUUAGCGGCGGACGGGUGAGUAACACGUGGAUAACCUACCUAUAAGACUGGGAUAACUUCGGGAAACCGGAGCUAAUACCGGAUAAUAUAUUGAACCGCAUGGUUCAAUAGUGAAAGACGGUUUUGCUGUCACUUAUAGAUGGAUCCGCGCCGCAUUAGCUAGUUGGUAAGGUAACGGCUUACCAAGGCAACGAUGCGUAGCCGACCUGAGAGGGUGAUCGGCCACACUGGAACUGAGACACGGUCCAGACUCCUACGGGAGGCAGCAGUAGGGAAUCUUCCGCAAUGGGCGAAAGCUUGACGGAGCAACGCCGCGUGAGUGAUGAAGGUCUUCGGAUCGUAAAACUCUGUUAUUAGGGAAGAACAAAUGUGUAAGUAACUAUGCACGUCUUGACGGUACCUAAUCAGAAAGCCACGGCUAACUACGUG